AUUACAUGCUGUGGUUUCGAACCU
This 24-nucleotide non-coding RNA is filed under the name Arabidopsis thaliana (thale cress). Lineage: Eukaryota; Viridiplantae; Streptophyta; Magnoliopsida; Brassicales; Brassicaceae. The record is from RNAcentral.